This 425-nucleotide ribosomal RNA is filed under the name uncultured bacterium. RNAcentral's name for it is "partial 16S ribosomal RNA". It matches the Rfam family "Bacterial small subunit ribosomal RNA", at positions 354 to 796 of the family's 1533-position model. The record is from RNAcentral.
GUUAGGAAUAUUGGACAAUGGGCGCAAGCCUGAUCCAGCCAUGCCGCGUGAACGAUGAAGGCCUUCGGGUUGUAAAGUUCUUUAGCCGAUGAUUAUAAUGACUGUAGUCGGAAAAUAAGCCCCGGCUAACUUCGUGCCAGCAGCCGCGGUAAUACGAAGGGGGCGAGCGUUAUUCGGAAUCACUGGGCGUAAAGCGUGCGUAGGCGGUCUCGUAAGUUAGGAGUGAAAGCCCAGGGCUCAACCUUGGAAUUGCUCUUAAAAAUGCAAGGCUAGAAUCUCGGAGAGGAUAGCGGAAUUUCCAGUGUAGCAGUGAAAUGCGUAGAUAUUGGAAGGAACACCAGUGGCGUAAGCGGCUAUCUGGACGAGUAUUGACGCUGAGGCACGAAAGCGUGGGGAUCAAACAGGAUUAGAAACCCCUGUAGUCC